This is a non-coding RNA of 218 nucleotides. It matches the Rfam family "T-box leader". Rfam says of the family: Uncharged tRNA acts as the effector for transcription antitermination of genes in the T-box leader family. T-boxes are found upstream of many aminoacyl-tRNA synthetase genes and some amino acid biosynthetic genes usually in Gram-positive bacteria.
AGAAAUACUGUGAACUAGAAGUAGUAGUAAAAAGAAGACUUAUAGAGACCUAAAUAGUGCUGGAAAUUUAGGAGUUAGUAAUUUUAUGAAUUAGUCUAGGGAGUUGUGUACGUGCAGGUAAGUCAAGCGUGCAUCGUUAACUCACGUUAAGAGUUUAAAGAGUCUAGUCUAACUAGAAACCAAGGUGGUACCGCGGACAUUAUAAGUUCGUCCUUAUU